This 278-nucleotide ribosomal RNA is filed under the name uncultured bacterium. Its description in RNAcentral is "partial 16S ribosomal RNA". It matches the Rfam family "Bacterial small subunit ribosomal RNA", at positions 506 to 784 of the family's 1533-position model. The record is from RNAcentral.
UGCCAGCAGCCGCGGUAAUACGAAGGGUGCUAGCGUUGUUCGGAAUCACUGGGCGUAAAGGGUGCGUAGGUGGUUCAAUAAGUCAGAAGUGAAAGGCUAUGGCUCAACCAUAGUAAGCUUUUGAAACUGUUGAACUUGAGUACAGGAGAGGAAAGUGGAAUUCCUAGUGUAGCGGUGAAAUGCGUAGAUAUUAGGAGGAACACCAGUGGCGAAGGCGACUUUCUGGACUGUUACUGACACUGAGGCACGAAAGCGUGGGGAGCAAACAGGAUUAGAUA